UACGUAGGGGGCAAGCGUUGUUCGGAAUGACUGGGCGUAAAGGGUGCGUAGGCGGUGUAGCAAGUUAGAAGUGAAAUACCUAGAGCUUAACUCAGGUGCUGCUUCUAAAACUGCUAUACUUGAGUGCGGUAGAGGAAAGUGGAAUUCCUAGUGUAGCGGUGGAAUGCGUAGAUAUUAGGAGGAACAUCAGUGGCGAAGGCGACUUUCUGGACUGUAACUGACGCUGAGGCACGAAAGUGUGGGGAGCAAACAGG
RNAcentral lists this ribosomal RNA (254 nucleotides) under uncultured bacterium. RNAcentral's name for it is "partial 16S ribosomal RNA". It matches the Rfam family "Bacterial small subunit ribosomal RNA", at positions 524 to 776 of the family's 1533-position model. The record is from RNAcentral.